RNAcentral lists this ribosomal RNA (686 nucleotides) under uncultured Staphylococcus sp. RNAcentral describes it as "bacterial SSU rRNA". It matches the Rfam family "Bacterial small subunit ribosomal RNA", at positions 37 to 705 of the family's 1533-position model. The record is from RNAcentral. Lineage: Bacteria; Bacillati; Bacillota; Bacilli; Caryophanales; Staphylococcaceae.
UGGCGGCGUGCCUAAUACAUGCAAGUCGAGCGAACGGACGAGAAGCUUGCUUCUCUGAUGUUAGCGGCGGACGGGUGAGUAACACGUGGAUAACCUACCUAUAAGACUGGGAUAACUUCGGGAAACCGGAGCUAAUACCGGAUAAUAUUUUGAACCGCAUGGUUCAAAAGUGAAAGACGGUCUUGCUGUCACUUAUAGAUGGAUCCGCGCUGCAUUAGCUAGUUGGUAAGGUAACGGCUUACCAAGGCAACGAUGCAUAGCCGACCUGAGAGGGUGAUCGGCCACACUGGAACUGAGACACGGUCCAGACUCCUACGGGAGGCAGCAGUAGGGAAUCUUCCGCAAUGGGCGAAAGCCUGACGGAGCAACGCCGCGUGAGUGAUGAAGGUCUUCGGAUCGUAAAACUCUGUUAUUAGGGAAGAACAUAUGUGUAAGUAACUGUGCACAUCUUGACGGUACCUAAUCAGAAAGCCACGGCUAACUACGUGCCAGCAGCCGCGGUAAUACGUAGGUGGCAAGCGUUAUCCGGAAUUAUUGGGCGUAAAGCGCGCGUAGGCGGUUUUUUAAGUCUGAUGUGAAAGCCCACGGCUCAACCGUGGAGGGUCAUUGGAAACUGGAAUACUUGAGUGCAGAAGAGGAAAGUGGAAUUCCAUGUGUAGCGGUGAAAUGCGCAGAGAUAUGGAGGA